GAUUGAUUUUGGUCGCCAACGAGUGGCGGACGGGUGAGUAACACGUAGGUAACCUGCCCAGAAGCGGGGGACAACAUUUGGAAACAGAUGCUAAUACCGCAUAACAACGUUGUUCGCAUGAACAACGCUUAAAAGAUGGCUUCUCGCUAUCACUUCUGGAUGGACCUGCGGUGCAUUAGCUUGUUGGUGGGGUAACGGCCUACCAAGGCGAUGAUGCAUAGCCGAGUUGAGAGACUGAUCGGCCACAAUGGGACUGAGACACGGCCCAUACUCCUACGGGAGGCAGCAGUAGGGAAUCUUCCACAAUGGGCGCAAGCCUGAUGGAGCAACACCGCGUGAGUGAAGAAGGGUUUCGGCUCGUAAAGCUCUGUUGUUAAAG
RNAcentral lists this ribosomal RNA (379 nucleotides) under Limosilactobacillus fermentum. RNAcentral describes it as "bacterial SSU rRNA". It matches the Rfam family "Bacterial small subunit ribosomal RNA", at positions 72 to 444 of the family's 1533-position model. Lineage: Bacteria; Bacillati; Bacillota; Bacilli; Lactobacillales; Lactobacillaceae. The record is from RNAcentral.